RNAcentral lists this ribosomal RNA (816 nucleotides) under uncultured Thelephoraceae. RNAcentral's name for it is "eukaryotic LSU rRNA". The stretch from base 493 to 816 matches the Rfam family "Eukaryotic large subunit ribosomal RNA", at positions 1 to 317 of the family's 3401-position model. Lineage: Eukaryota; Fungi; Basidiomycota; Agaricomycetes; Thelephorales; Thelephoraceae. The record is from RNAcentral.
UCUGUAGUUCUGUGGUCGGGGGGCCUUGUCCUCCUACUGUGGUUCUGCAUCUUUACACACACACUGUACAAAGUCUCAUGGAAUGCAUCUGCGUUUAACGCAUACAAUACAACUUUCAGCAACGGAUCUCUUGGCUCUCGCAUCGAUGAAGAACGCAGCGAAAUGCGAUAAGUAAUGUGAAUUGCAGAAUUCAGUGAAUCAUCGAAUCUUUGAACGCACCUUGCGCCCUUUGGCCAUUCCGAAGGGCAUGCCUGUUUGAGUAUCAUGAACACCUCAACUCUUCAUGGUUUUCCGUGAUGAGCUUGGACUUUGGGGGUUUUGCUGGCCUGUGGUCGGCUCCUCUAAAAUGAAUCAGCUUGCCAGUGUUUGGUGGGCAUCACAGGUGUGAUAACUAUCUACGCUUGUGGUUUUCCACCAGGGUAACCUUCAGCAGUGGAGGUUCGCUGGAGCUCAUAGAUGUCUCUCCUCAGUGAGGACGGCCCUUUGAAUGUUUGAUCUCAAAUCAGGUAGGACUACCCGCUGAACUUAAGCAUAUCAAUAAGCGGAGGAAAAGAAACUAACAAGGAUUCCCCUAGUAACUGCGAGUGAAGCGGGAAGAGCUCAAAUUUAAAAUCUGGCGUGCCUCUGGUCGUCCGAGUUGUAGUCUGGAGAAGUGUUUUCUGUGUUGGACCGUGUACAAGUCCCUUGGAACAGGGCGUCAUAGAGGGUGAGAAUCCCGUCUUUGACACGGACUACCAAUGCUUUGUGAUGCGCUCUCAAAGAGUCGAGUUGUUUGGGAAUGCAGCUCAAAAUGGGUGGUAAAUUCCAUCUAAAGCU